AAUGUUCAUCCCUUGACGGUAUCUAACCAGAAAGCCACGGCUAACUACGUGCCAGCAGCCGCGGUAAUACGUAGGUGGCAAGCGUUGUCCGGAUUUAUUGGGCGUAAAGCGAGCGCAGGCGGUUUCUUAAGUCUGAUGUGAAAGCCCCCGGCUCAACCGGGGAGGGUCAUUGGAAACUGGGAAACUUGAGUGCAGAAGAGGAGAGUGGAAUUCCAUGUGUAGCGGUGAAAUGCGUAGAUAUAUGGAGGAACACCAGUGGCGAAGGCGGCUCUCUGGUCUGUAACUGACGCUGAGGCUCGAAAGCGUGGGGAGCAAACAGGAUUAGAUACCCUGGUAGUCCACGCCGUAAACGAUGAGUGCUAAGUGUUGGAGGUUGUGCCCUUGAGGCGUGGCUUCCGGAGCUAACGCGUUAAGUCGACCGCCUGGGGAGUACGGCCGCAAGGUU
RNAcentral lists this ribosomal RNA (445 nucleotides) under uncultured Enterococcus sp. RNAcentral's name for it is "bacterial SSU rRNA". It matches the Rfam family "Bacterial small subunit ribosomal RNA", at positions 457 to 895 of the family's 1533-position model. Lineage: Bacteria; Bacillati; Bacillota; Bacilli; Lactobacillales; Enterococcaceae. The record is from RNAcentral.